RNAcentral lists this microRNA precursor (92 nucleotides) under Marmota monax (woodchuck). Lineage: Eukaryota; Metazoa; Chordata; Mammalia; Rodentia; Sciuridae. The record is from RNAcentral.
AUAGUGUGUGUAUAUGUGUGUGUGUGUGUGUGUGUGUGUGUAUAUAUAUAUAUAUAUACACACACACACACACACACACACACAUACAUAUA